RNAcentral lists this ribosomal RNA (1477 nucleotides) under Lactiplantibacillus plantarum. RNAcentral's name for it is "Lactobacillus plantarum partial 16S ribosomal RNA". It matches the Rfam family "Bacterial small subunit ribosomal RNA". The record is from RNAcentral. Lineage: Bacteria; Bacillati; Bacillota; Bacilli; Lactobacillales; Lactobacillaceae.
AGGCUCAGGACGAACGCUGGCGGCGUGCCUAAUACAUGCAAGUCGAACGAACUCUGGUAUUGAUUGGUGCUUGCAUCAUGAUUUACAUUUGAGUGAGUGGCGAACUGGUGAGUAACACGUGGGAAACCUGCCCAGAAGCGGGGGAUAACACCUGGAAACAGAUGCUAAUACCGCAUAACAACUUGGACCGCAUGGUCCGAGCUUGAAAGAUGGCUUCGGCUAUCACUUUUGGAUGGUCCCGCGGCGUAUUAGCUAGAUGGUGGGGUAACGGCUCACCAUGGCAAUGAUACGUAGCCGACCUGAGAGGGUAAUCGGCCACAUUGGGACUGAGACACGGCCCAAACUCCUACGGGAGGCAGCAGUAGGGAAUCUUCCACAAUGGACGAAAGUCUGAUGGAGCAACGCCGCGUGAGUGAAGAAGGGUUUCGGCUCGUAAAACUCUGUUGUUAAAGAAGAACAUAUCUGAGAGUAACUGUUCAGGUAUUGACGGUAUUUAACCAGAAAGCCACGGCUAACUACGUGCCAGCAGCCGCGGUAAUACGUAGGUGGCAAGCGUUGUCCGGAUUUAUUGGGCGUAAAGCGAGCGCAGGCGGUUUUUUAAGUCUGAUGUGAAAGCCUUCGGCUCAACCGAAGAAGUGCAUCGGAAACUGGGAAACUUGAGUGCAGAAGAGGACAGUGGAACUCCAUGUGUAGCGGUGAAAUGCGUAGAUAUAUGGAAGAACACCAGUGGCGAAGGCGGCUGUCUGGUCUGUAACUGACGCUGAGGCUCGAAAGUAUGGGUAGCAAACAGGAUUAGAUACCCUGGUAGUCCAUACCGUAAACGAUGAAUGCUAAGUGUUGGAGGGUUUCCGCCCUUCAGUGCUGCAGCUAACGCAUUAAGCAUUCCGCCUGGGGAGUACGGCCGCAAGGCUGAAACUCAAAGGAAUUGACGGGGGCCCGCACAAGCGGUGGAGCAUGUGGUUUAAUUCGAAGCUACGCGAAGAACCUUACCAGGUCUUGACAUACUAUGCAAAUCUAAGAGAUUAGACGUUCCCUUCGGGGACAUGGAUACAGGUGGUGCAUGGUUGUCGUCAGCUCGUGUCGUGAGAUGUUGGGUUAAGUCCCGCAACGAGCGCAACCCUUAUUAUCAGUUGCCAGCAUUAAGUUGGGCACUCUGGUGAGACUGCCGGUGACAAACCGGAGGAAGGUGGGGAUGACGUCAAAUCAUCAUGCCCCUUAUGACCUGGGCUACACACGUGCUACAAUGGAUGGUACAACGAGUUGCGAACUCGCGAGAGUAAGCUAAUCUCUUAAAGCCAUUCUCAGUUCGGAUUGUAGGCUGCAACUCGCCUACAUGAAGUCGGAAUCGCUAGUAAUCGCGGAUCAGCAUGCCGCGGUGAAUACGUUCCCGGGCCUUGUACACACCGCCCGUCACACCAUGAGAGUUUGUAACACCCAAAGUCGGUGGGGUAACCUUUUAGGAACCAGCCGCCUAAUG